Molecule: ribosomal RNA, 117 nt
Filed under: Clostridium fermenticellae
Lineage: Bacteria; Bacillati; Bacillota; Clostridia; Eubacteriales; Clostridiaceae
Source: RNAcentral
UCUGGUGGUUAUUACAUAAAGGUAACACUCCUUCCCAUACCGAACAGGUAGGUUAAGCUUUAUUGUGCCGAUGGUACUUCAGGGGCAGCCCUGCGGGAGAGUAGGUCACCGCCAGGU